CGCUCCGCCUCCCUCGGCCUUAGCUAGAAGUCGAAACAAAACAAGCGCUAAGGCGGUGGCGGCGGCGCCGGGACGGGGGAGGGGCGCGCCGGAACCGGAACCGACCUGACGCCGGAACCGGAACGGAGAGCGGGUUGCCAGGGCCCGAAGAGGGCUGGCUGCGGCGGUCUCGCUCGGCUGUCCGUUCCUUGCUGGAGAAUUUGGCCACAAAGAGUUGCCAAGAUAGCUGGGCCAGGAAGAAAGCGCCGCAGCCCUGACCCAGACGCUGUUGCCGACCCCGGGGCACUCUGGCUGUCGACCAAGCGGCUCAAGAUGUCUGGCGGGGCCAGUGCCACAGGCCCAAGGAGAGGGCCCCCAGGACUGGAGGACACCACUAGUAAGAAGAAGCAGAAGGAUCGAGCAAACCAGGAGAGCAAGGAUGGAGGUCCUAGGAAAGAGACAGGGUCUCGAUAUGUUGCCCAGGCUGGUCUUGAACUUCUGGCCUCAGGUGAUCCUUCUGCCUCAGCCUCCCAUGCAGCUGGGAUCACAGGCUCACGCCACCAUACCCGGCUGUUCUUUCCUUCAUCAUCAGGGUCAGCAUCCACUCCUCAAGAGGAGCAGACCAAAGAGGAGUUGUUGCUCGAUUGGAGGCAGAGUGCAGAAGAGGUGAUUGUCAAGCUUCGUGUGGGAGUAGGUCCCCUGCAGCUGGAGGAUGUAGAUGCUGCUUUCACAGAUACGGACUGUGUGGUGCGGUUUGCAGGUGGUCAGCAGUGGGGUGGUGUCUUCUAUGCUGAGAUAAAAAGCUCUUGUGCUAAAGUGCAAACCGGCAAGGGCAGUCUCCUGCACCUGACACUGCCCAAAAAGGUGCCUAUGCUCACGUGGCCCUCCCUCCUGGUGAGUUCUAGUAGUCCAGGGUUGGGUAGGGAUACCAGUGUAGUCGACAGGGCCUGACUGCUGUAUCUUUGGCAGAAGAAACCUCUAGGGACCCAGGAGCUGGUGCCGGGGCUGCAGUGCCAGGAGAAUGGGCAGGAACUGUCUCCCAUUGCCCUGGAGCCAGGCCCUGAGCCCCACCGGGCUAAGCAGGAGGCCCGGAACCAGAAGCGGGCCCAGGGCCGUGGUGAGGUAGGCUCAGGGGCUGGCCCCGGGGCCCAGGCAGGGCCCAGCGCCAAGAGGGCUGUGCAUCUCUGCAGAGGGCCAGAGGGGGACGGGUCC
RNAcentral lists this small RNA (1191 nucleotides) under Pan troglodytes (chimpanzee). Its description in RNAcentral is "processed transcript". The record is from RNAcentral. Lineage: Eukaryota; Metazoa; Chordata; Mammalia; Primates; Hominidae.